This is a non-coding RNA of Danio rerio (zebrafish), 402 nucleotides long. The record is from Ensembl. Lineage: Eukaryota; Metazoa; Chordata; Actinopteri; Cypriniformes; Danionidae.
UGUGAUGUGGACACGACGCGCAACCGGUGCACACGCACUCAUUCACGAGCAUGACGAGACUUCACGCGGCAGUGAUCACUCAAGAUAAUGCCAGCCGCAAAAGAGGUUAUUAAAAAGACAAUUAACUGAGCAAAGGGCAUCUAACUGAGAUUAUAAUAGAGCAUUGAAAACAUGAUGUUGAAGAAGAUGAUUGUAUGACUAACAUCAAACAGCUGAGUUGGCUUGCCAGACACACUCCCUGAAUAAGUGUUUGCUGCAUCAGCACAGGUUUUCCCUUGAAGCUCCAAAGCCAAUGAAAGAGGAAUCGCUCCAUUAAAUGAACAAAUGUGAAUGGACCAGUAAAUCCCCAGGGAAAUGGAUGAUGAAUCGGACAGAAAGGGAAAGGUUCGCCCACACAUGAAG